Molecule: long non-coding RNA, 828 nt
Filed under: Olea europaea subsp. europaea
Lineage: Eukaryota; Viridiplantae; Streptophyta; Magnoliopsida; Lamiales; Oleaceae
Source: RNAcentral
AUCCUAUCUCUAUCUCUAUCUCUAUCUCCAUCUCCAUCACAAGUACAACCUCCCCAGGAUGUAUAUGGUUUUCCGUGUCUUCACAAAAGGUGAGGGAGCGCCUUCUUUGAACUGGAACAAUAACCAAAAUACCAGUUGAAAAAAGGCCUGGAAUAAACUAUGAGGGCAAAACAAACAAGGAAUAGUUUCAUCGACAAAAAAGCAAACAUCUUCAUCUUUGUGGAAAUACAUUACUUGUGCUAUGUCCUCUGGUGCUGUAAACUAUGUUUUACAACUCCACAAUUUGCUAUAUACAAGUGUAUUGGGACCAUACCGUCAGCAUACAUGAGGGAAGCAUAAGGAAAAGGGGGGCAUGAAAAAUAAUCAAUAAUUGGGCACAAAUAAAAUGAAUGACAAAACAAAAAGCAUUAGCAUGUUCCAGACGAGCGUAUCAAUAUGGCAGACUACAAAUGCAAAACGUAUAUAUUCUCAAAUACCUCAAGCGCACACAUAAUUGUUGAAAGUAUAUGAACAUAACGGCAAAUAGUCCCAACCUCCAUCGUUCUCAAAAGUCUGUUUGCGUGUAUUUUCAAACUGACCAAACAUCAAAUUCUUUGAAAAGGAAAAAAUAAGAGAAAAUAAUUAGAUUGUUAAAUUGCACAUGGAGAUAAAACUUGUCCAAUUAUAAAAAAUAGUGUUCAGUAGAAAUCCAUGUCGAGCAAUUUGACUUUCUGCCUUUCUUAUUUUCUCUGUAAAAGAUCUAUGAAGAAUAUUCAUUAAACCUAACACAAGUCCAAAUACACAACAUUCUAUAUCAACAUGUUUUACUAAGUAGAACUGUUAUUCUUU